CCCUUAGAUGUUCUGGGCCGCACGCGCGCUACACUGACGAUGGCAACGAGUUUUUCCUUCGCCGAAACGUGUGGGUAAUCUUUUGAAACAUCGUCGUGCUGGGGAUAGAUCAUUGCAAUUUUUGAUCUUGAACGAGGAAUUCCUAGUAAGCGCGAGUCAUCAGCUCGCGUUGAUUACGUCCCUGCCCUUUGUACACACCGCCCGUCGCUACUACCGAUUGAAUGGUUUAGUGAGGACUCCUGAUUGGCGCCGCCGCCCCGGCAACGGAGCAGCGGACUGCCGAAAAGUUGUUCAAACUUGAUCAUUUAGAGGAAGUAAAAGUCGUAACA
Molecule: ribosomal RNA, 329 nt
Filed under: uncultured eukaryote
Lineage: Eukaryota
Description: partial 18S ribosomal RNA
Rfam family: Eukaryotic small subunit ribosomal RNA
Source: RNAcentral